RNAcentral lists this ribosomal RNA (868 nucleotides) under uncultured bacterium. Its description in RNAcentral is "bacterial SSU rRNA". It matches the Rfam family "Bacterial small subunit ribosomal RNA", at positions 439 to 1334 of the family's 1533-position model. The record is from RNAcentral.
UGCGUGAGAAAGUUAUUGAUGUUAGCGCAUGAAUAAGGGGCUCCUAACUCUGUGCCAGCAGGAGCGGUAAUACAGAGGCCCCAAGCAUUAUCCGGAAUCACUGGGCGUAAAGGGUGUGUAGGCGGCUAUGUUAGUCUUUUGUGAAAGGUCUUGGGCUUAACCCAGGAACCGCAGGGGAAACGGCAUAGCUUAGAGGAUGUGAGAGGUAAAGGGAACUCAUGGUGUAGGGGUGAAAUCCGUUGAUAUCAUGGGGAACACCAAAUGCGAAGGCACUUUACUGGCACACUCCUGACGCUGAGACACGAAAGCGUGGGAAUCGAAUGGGAUUAGAUACCCCAGUAGUCCACGCCCUAAACGAUCCGAACUGGUUUUGAGGAGUAUCGACCCUCUUCGAGACGAAGCUAACGCGUUAAGUUCGGCGCCUGGGUAGUACGAUCGCAAGAUUAAAACUCAAAGGAAUAGACGGGGACUUGCACAAGCGGUGGAUCAUGCGGCUCAAUUCGAUGACAAACGAAGAACCUCACCAGGAUUAGAAAUCCAGACGAUUGCCCUAGGAAACUAGGGCGUCCGCAAGGCGGCUGGACAGGUGAUGCAUGGUCGUCGUCAGUUCGUGGCUUGAGUUGUUCCCUUCAGUGGGGUAACGAACGCAACCCUCGUUGCCUGUUUUAUUAGUCAGGCGAGACUGCCCCCUCACGGGGGAGGAAGGUGAGGAUGACGCCAGAUCAGCAUGUCCCUCUGAUAUCCUGGGCUGCACGCAUGAUACAAUGCACUCGACAACAAGAAGCAAUGGGGUAACCCGGAGCAAAUCUUAUAAACAAGUGCCCAGUUCGGAUUGAGGUCUGCAACCCGACCUCAGAAGCCGGAAUCG